GACGAACCGUGCGAACGUUGUUCGGAAUCACUGGGCUUAAAGGGCGCGUAGGCGGGCGGCCGCGUCCGGGGUGAAAUACCACGGCUCAACCGUGGAACGGCCUCGGAUACGGGCGGCCUCGAGGGAGGUAGGGGCAUCGGGAACUGUGAGUGGAGCGGUGAAAUGCGUUGAUAUUCACAGGAACUCCGGUGGCGAAGGCGCGGUGCUGGACCUCAUCUGACGCUGAGGCGCGAAAGCCAGGGGAGCGAACGGG
Molecule: ribosomal RNA, 253 nt
Filed under: uncultured bacterium
Lineage: Bacteria
Description: partial 16S ribosomal RNA
Rfam family: Bacterial small subunit ribosomal RNA
Source: RNAcentral